CAAGUCGAGCGCCCAGCAAUGGGAGCGGCGGACGGGUGAGUAACGCGUGGGAAUUUUUCCUGGAGUACGGAACAACCGAGGGAAACUUCGGCUAAUACCGUAUGAUAUCGAGAGAUCAAAGAUUUAUCGCUCUGGGGUGAGCCCGCGUCAGAUUAGGUAGUUGGUGGGGUAACGGCCUACCAAGCCUGCGAUCUGUAGCUGGUCUGAGAGGACGAUCAGCCACACUGGGACUGAGACACGGCCCAGACUCCUACGGGAGGCAGCAGUGGGGAAUCUUGCGCAAUGGGCGAAAGCCUGACGCAGCCAUGCCGCGUGAGUGAAGAAGGUCUUAGGAUUGUAAAGCUCUUUCGCUCGUGACGAUGAUGACGGUAACGAGAGAAGAAGCCCCGGCUAACUUCGUGCCAGCAGCCGCGGUAAUACGAAGGGGGCUAGCGUUGUUCGGAAUUACUGGGCGUAAAGCGCGCGUAGGCGGUUUUGCAAGCCAGAGGUGAAAUGCCUGAGCUCAACUUAGGAAUUGCCUUUGGGACUGCGAGGCUUUGAGGACGGGAGAGGUGAGUGGAAUUCCCAGUGUAGAGGUGAAAUUCGUAGAUAUUGGGAAGAACACCGGUGGCGAAGGCGGCUCACUGGCCCGUUUCUGACGCUGCAGCGCGAAAGCGUGGGGAUCAAACAGGAUUAGAUACCCUGGUAGUCCACGCUGUAAACGAUGAGUGCUAGGCGUCGGCAAGCUUGCUUGUCGGUGCCGCAGCUAACGCGUGAAGCACUCCGCCUGGGGAGUACGGUCGCAAGAUUAAAACUCAAAGGAAUUGACGGGGGCCCGC
RNAcentral lists this ribosomal RNA (818 nucleotides) under uncultured Alphaproteobacteria bacterium. RNAcentral describes it as "bacterial SSU rRNA". It matches the Rfam family "Bacterial small subunit ribosomal RNA", at positions 58 to 924 of the family's 1533-position model. Lineage: Bacteria; Pseudomonadati; Pseudomonadota; Alphaproteobacteria. The record is from RNAcentral.